CAGCCGCCGCGGUAAGACGAACCGUGCGAACGUUAUUCGGAAUUACUGGGCGUAAAGCGUGCGUAGGCGGUGAGUUAAGUCUGCUGUGAAAUCCCCGGGCUCAACCUGGGAAUGGCAGUGGAUACUGGCUCGCUAGAGUGUGUCAGAGGAUGGUGGAAUUCCCGGUGUAGCGGUGAAAUGCGUAGAGAUCGGGAGGAACAUCAGUGGCGAAGGCGGCCAUCUGGGACAACACUGACGCUGAGGCACGAAAGCGUGGGGAGCAAACAGGAUUAGAUACCCGCGUAGUCCCUGUCUCUUAUAC
This 301-nucleotide ribosomal RNA is filed under the name uncultured bacterium. RNAcentral describes it as "partial 16S ribosomal RNA". It matches the Rfam family "Bacterial small subunit ribosomal RNA", at positions 509 to 807 of the family's 1533-position model. The record is from RNAcentral.